RNAcentral lists this ribosomal RNA (81 nucleotides) under Cephalozia ambigua. Its description in RNAcentral is "partial 5.8S ribosomal RNA". It matches the Rfam family "5.8S ribosomal RNA", at positions 73 to 153 of the family's 154-position model. From Rfam's summary of the family: 5.8S ribosomal RNA (5.8S rRNA) is a component of the large subunit of the eukaryotic ribosome. It is transcribed by RNA polymerase I as part of the 45S precursor that also contains 18S and 28S rRNA. Functionally, it is thought that 5.8S rRNA may be involved in ribosome translocation. Lineage: Eukaryota; Viridiplantae; Streptophyta; Jungermanniopsida; Jungermanniales; Cephaloziaceae. The record is from RNAcentral.
UGCAGAAUUCCGUGAAUCAUCGAGUCUUUGAACGCAAGUUGCGCCCGAGGCUUGUCCCGAGGGCAUGCCUGCCUGAGCGUC